Molecule: ribosomal RNA, 1532 nt
Filed under: Lactiplantibacillus plantarum
Lineage: Bacteria; Bacillati; Bacillota; Bacilli; Lactobacillales; Lactobacillaceae
Description: bacterial SSU rRNA
Rfam family: Bacterial small subunit ribosomal RNA
Source: RNAcentral
AGAGUUUGAUCCUGGCUCAGGACGAACGCUGGCGGCGUGCCUAAUACAUGCAAGUCGAACGAACUCUGGUAUCGAUUGGUGCUUGCAUCAUGAUUUACAUUUGAGUGAGUGGCGAACUGGUGAGUAACACGUGGGAAACCUGCCCAGAAGCGGGGGAUAACACCUGGAAACAGAUGCUAAUACCGCAUAACAACUUGGACCGCAUGGUCCGAGUUUGAAAGAUGGCUUCGGCUAUCACUUUUGGAUGGUCCCGCGGCGUAUUAGCUAGAUGGUGAGGUAACGGCUCACCAUGGCAAUGAUACGUAGCCGACCUGAGAGGGUAAUCGGCCACAUUGGGACUGAGACACGGCCCAAACUCCUACGGGAGGCAGCAGUAGGGAAUCUUCCACAAUGGACGAAAGUCUGAUGGAGCAACGCCGCGUGAGUGAAGAAGGGUUUCGGCUCGUAAAACUCUGUUGUUAAAGAAGAACAUAUCUGAGAGUAACUGUUCAGGUAUUGACGGUAUUUAACCAGAAAGCCACGGCUAACUACGUGCCAGCAGCCGCGGUAAUACGUAGGUGGCAAGCGUUGUCCGGAUUUAUUGGGCGUAAAGCGAGCGCAGGCGGUUUUUUAAGUCUGAUGUGAAAGCCUUCGGCUCAACCGAAGAAGUGCAUCGGAAACUGGGAAACUUGAGUGCAGAAGAGGACAGUGGAACUCCAUGUGUAGCGGUGAAAUGCGUAGAUAUAUGGAAGAACACCAGUGGCGAAGGCGGCUGUCUGGUCUGUAACUGACGCUGAGGCUCGAAAGUAUGGGUAGCAAACAGGAUUAGAUACCCUGGUAGUCCGUACCGUAAACGAUGAAUGCUAAGUGUUGGAGGGUUUCCGCCCUUCAGUGCUGCAGCUAACGCAUUAAGCAUUCCGCCUGGGGAGUACGGCCGCAAGGCUGAAACUCAAAGGAAUUGACGGGGGCCCGCACAAGCGGUGGAGCAUGUGGUUUAAUUCGAAGCUACGCGAAGAACCUUACCAGGUCUUGACAUACUAUGCAAAUCUAAGAGAUUAGACGUUCCCUUCGGGGACAUGGAUACAGGUGGUGCAUGGUUGUCGUCAGCUCGUGUCGUGAGAUGUUGGGUUAAGUCCCGCAACGAGCGCAACCCUUAUUAUCAGUUGCCAGCAUUAAGUUGGGCACUCUGGUGAGACUGCCGGUGACAAACCGGAGGAAGGUGGGGAUGACGUCAAAUCAUCAUGCCCCUUAUGACCUGGGCUACACACGUGCUACAAUGGAUGGUACAACGAGUUGCGAACUCGCGAGAGUAAGCUAAUCUCUUAAAGCCAUUCUCAGUUCGGAUUGUAGGCUGCAACUCGCCUACAUGAAGUCGGAAUCGCUAGUAAUCGCGGAUCAGCAUGCCGCGGUGAAUACGUUCCCGGGCCUUGUACACACCGCCCGUCACACCAUGAGAGUUUGUAACACCCAAAGUCGGUGGGGUAACCUUUUAGGAACCAGCCGCCUAAGGUGGGACAGAUGAUUAGGGUGAAGUCGUAACAAGGUAGCCGUAG